AUUGAACGCUGGCGGCAGGCCUAACACAUGCAAGUCGAACGGUAACAGGAAGAAGCUUGCUUCUUUGCUGACGAGUGGCGGACGGGUGAGUAAUGUCUGGGAAACUGCCUGAUGGAGGGGGAUAACUACUGGAAACGGUAGCUAAUACCGCAUAACGUCGCAAGACCAAAGAGGGGGACCUUCGGGCCUCUGGCCAUCGGAUGUGCCCAGAUGGGAUUAGCUAGUGGGUGGGGUAACGGCUCACCUAGGCGACGAUCCCUAGCUGGUCUGAGAGGAUGACAAGCCGCACUGGAACUGAGACACGGUCCAGACUACUACGGGAGGCAGCAGUGGGGAAUAUUGCACAAUGGGCGCAAGCAUGAUGCAGCCAUGCCGAGUGUAUGAAGACGGCCUUCGGGUUGUAAAGUACUUUCAGCGGGGAGGAAGGGAGUAAAGUUAAUACCUUUGCUCAUUGACGUUACCCGCAGAAGAAGCACCGGCUAACUCCGUG
This 490-nucleotide ribosomal RNA is filed under the name uncultured bacterium. Its description in RNAcentral is "partial 16S ribosomal RNA". It matches the Rfam family "Bacterial small subunit ribosomal RNA", at positions 30 to 507 of the family's 1533-position model. The record is from RNAcentral.